CACGUAGGGCGCAAGCGUUGUCCGGAAUUAUUGGGCGUAAAGAGCUCGUAGGCGGUCUGUUGCGUCCGCUGUGAAAACUCGGGGCUUAACCCCGAGCCUGCAGUGGAUACGGGCAGACUAGAGGUAGGUAGGGGAGAAUGGAAUUCCCGGUGUAGCGGUGAAAUGCGCAGAUAUCGGGAGGAAGACCAGUGGCGAAGGCGGGUCUCUGGACAGUUCCUGACGCUGAGGCACGAAGGCCAGGGGAGCAAACGGG
Molecule: ribosomal RNA, 253 nt
Filed under: uncultured bacterium
Lineage: Bacteria
Description: partial 16S ribosomal RNA
Rfam family: Bacterial small subunit ribosomal RNA
Source: RNAcentral